This 72-nucleotide transfer RNA is filed under the name Camelus bactrianus (Bactrian camel). It matches the Rfam family "tRNA". Rfam says of the family: Transfer RNA (tRNA) molecules are approximately 80 nucleotides in length. Their secondary structure includes four short double-helical elements and three loops (D, anti-codon, and T loops). Further hydrogen bonds mediate the characteristic L-shaped molecular structure. tRNAs have two regions of fundamental functional importance: the anti-codon, which is responsible for specific mRNA codon recognition, and the 3' end, to which the tRNAs corresponding amino acid is attached (by aminoacyl-tRNA synthetases). tRNAs cope with the degeneracy of the genetic code in two manners: having more than one tRNA (with a specific anti-codon) for a particular amino acid; and 'wobble' base-pairing, i.e. permitting non-standard base-pairing at the 3rd anti-codon position. RNAcentral also lists the same sequence under 1 other name. The record is from Rfam by way of RNAcentral. Lineage: Eukaryota; Metazoa; Chordata; Mammalia; Artiodactyla; Camelidae.
GGGGAUGUAGCUCGGUGGUAGAGUGCAUACUUAGCAUGCAUGAGGUUACAGGUUCAAUCCCUAGUACCUCUA